UUCCAGACUCCUACGGGAGGCAGCAGUGGGGAAUAUUGCACAAUGGGGGAAACCCUGAUGCAGCGACGCCGCGUGAGCGAUGAAGUAUUUCGGUAUGUAAAGCUCUAUCAGCAGGGAAGAAAAUGACGGUACCUGACUAAGAAGCCCCGGCUAACUACGUGCCAGCAGCCGCGGUAAUACGUAGGGGGCAAGCGUUAUCCGGAUUUACUGGGUGUAAAGGGAGCGUAGACGGCUGUGCAAGCCAGAUGUGAAAGCCCGGGGCUCAACCCCGGGACUGCAUUUGGAACUGUGUGGCUGGAGUGUCGGAGAGGCAGGCGGAAUUCCUAGUGUAGUGGUGAAAUGCGUAGACAUUAGGAGGAACACCAGUGGCGAAGGCGGCCUGCUGGACGAUGACUGACGUUGAGGCUCGAAAGCGUGGGGAGCAAACAGGAUUAGAUACCCGAGUAC
RNAcentral lists this ribosomal RNA (447 nucleotides) under uncultured bacterium. RNAcentral describes it as "bacterial SSU rRNA". It matches the Rfam family "Bacterial small subunit ribosomal RNA", at positions 329 to 793 of the family's 1533-position model. The record is from RNAcentral.